GCCCGCCUAGCUCAAUCGGAUAGAGCGUCAGACUCUUAGGCGGGUGAUAACGUCCUACAGUUAUCUGAAGGCUGCGAGUUCGACCCUCGCGGUGGGCU
Molecule: non-coding RNA, 98 nt
Organism: Russula aff. rugulosa BPL654
Lineage: Eukaryota; Fungi; Basidiomycota; Agaricomycetes; Russulales; Russulaceae
Source: the annotation of a GenBank genome assembly